CACUGUGGUUUCUUCCCUGCUUUCUCUUGCUGACGUCAUGCUCUGUGGAGGAAGCCAGCCACCAUGCUGUGAGGACACACGAGCGCCUUACCAGGGAGGUCCUCAUGAAUCUCACUUGGUGGCAAUGGCAAUUUAUCUUCAAGUUACCCUGGAACCUCUUGUGACCACCAGAAGCAUGGUCCCAAUCACUCUCUAUUUCCUGGCAUAUUCCACAAAAACUUGAGUUAUUAACCAUUUUUAAUAAUGCAGAUAAUAAACAUCACAGUCACCCUGCAACUCAUUA
This is a non-coding RNA of Ictidomys tridecemlineatus (thirteen-lined ground squirrel), 283 nucleotides long. Lineage: Eukaryota; Metazoa; Chordata; Mammalia; Rodentia; Sciuridae. The record is from RefSeq and is a predicted model, not a curated record.